GCCAGACUCCUACGGGAGGCAGCAGUGGGGAAUAUUGCGCAAUGGGGGGAACCCUGACGCAGCAACGCCGCGUGCAGGAAGAAGGUCUUCGGAUUGUAAACUUUUGUCGCAGGGGAAGAAGACAGUGACGGUACCCUGUGAGAAAGUCACGGCUAACUACGUGCCAGCAGCCGCGGUAAUACGUAGGGGGCAAGCGUUAUCCGGAUUUACUGGGUGUAAAGGGAGCGUAGACGGCAAUACAAGUCGGAAGUGAAAUACCCGGGCUCAACCUGGGAACUGCUUUGGAAACUGUAUGGCUGGAGUGCUGGAGAGGUAAGCGGAAUUCCUAGUGUAGCGGUGAAAUGCGUAGAUAUUAGGAGGAACACCAGUGGCGAAGGCGGCUUACUGGACAGUAACUGACGUUGAGGCUCGAAAGCGUGGGGAGCAAACAGGAUUAGAUACCCCCGUAA
This 449-nucleotide ribosomal RNA is filed under the name uncultured bacterium. Its description in RNAcentral is "bacterial SSU rRNA". It matches the Rfam family "Bacterial small subunit ribosomal RNA", at positions 330 to 793 of the family's 1533-position model. The record is from RNAcentral.